UAUGGCCAUAUCACGUUGAAACACCCAGUUCACAUCUGAUCAUCAAAGUUAAGCAAUAUCAAGCCUAGCCAGUAUGAAGAUGGGUGACUAGUUGGGAAUAAUAGGUGCUGUAA
Molecule: non-coding RNA, 113 nt
Organism: Acanthosepion pharaonis
Lineage: Eukaryota; Metazoa; Mollusca; Cephalopoda; Sepiida; Sepiidae
Source: the annotation of a GenBank genome assembly